CUGGCCUGAGGCACCGGGGUCCCGCCCGCCCGCGGCGCGCGUCGCUCACCCCCGGUACGGGGUUGUCGGCUCUUUGGCCUUUUCCGCUGCUCGCAGCCACGCGCUGCCCUCCGAGUGCGUUUCCCCGAGCAGAUUCACGUCUCUACGUUGCUAAGAGUGCUUGCAAGGCCUGGGCUGGGCAGCCCGUGGCGGCGGAUUUUCCAUCCCGCUGCCCCUCAGCCACCCCAGGGCCGCCGGGGCUGUUGCGGCCCAGAGCCCUGCUGUGCGGCUGCGCUUCUGGAGCCGCGGAUUUCCAGAAGAUGCCAGCUUUUGCUCUUGCUAGGGCGUUUGCAUUAUGAAAAUAAAAAAUGAAGGGCUCAUCCGCGAGCCAGGCGAUGUCCUCCUGUCACAGACAGAGGCUGUCACCUCUGCCGUUGCUGCACGGAUCGUUGCCUCCUUGAAAGGCAGAUGAAGCCCUAUGCUUUGCAUAGCUGGAAUGGCUGGCUGGCCUCCUGCUUUGGAUGGUGUCACCAGAAGAGCCUUGCCACACUGUGUGCACUGUGUGUGUCAGGCGCCUUUUGUCACAAAAGCACUUUGGGUUCAGCUUCAUUGAAAUCAGUGGCCAAGUUCCAUGUUCUACAGCACAGACAAAGCAAAUAGAGAGUCCAUAGAAAUGCAGUGUGCAUGAGAUAUGUGAGGGGAGGAAAUAAUGGGAUUAAACCAGCCGUGAGAGCAGCCACGUACAAACUGAAGAGCCGCCCCAGAGAGGUAUUCUUUGGAGACAAAAAGAUUCAGCUCUGAGCUGGUAUCACACAAAAAAAUGAUGGGAGAACAAGACUAAGAUGAAUGCUGGUGUUGGGAGGUUGCGGGGGGAGAUACCCACAUAAAGAACAAAGAGAAAAGGUUAAGCCCUGCCAUGGUGACAUCUCUGUCUCCUCCUUUACAUUUUGGGGUUUGGUUUAUGGAAGUAUGAUUUAAGAAUGGCAUAACAGACAUCUAACAAAGAAGCCUGCAUGUAUAGUGGAGCUGAAACUUUAUAUGGAUAGCACAGCAGCAAUGUCUGGUGCCGCAGGAAUUUAAUUCUGUUCUGAGCUCCCCAACAAAAGAAAAUUCGAUGUGUUUCUUCCCUCUCUUUUCGUGAACAUGAUGAAUGAAAAAGGCCUGAGGGUUGCAUUAUUUGUUUUUAAUAUGAAUGGCUGGUCUGUUCCACCAAUAGGCUUGGCUCUGGAGCAGAACAACUGAAAGCUGAGUCCAGUCACCAAACUCCACUAAACUUUGCCUCACAGUUUUGCAAGAGCAAUGAUGGAAAAGGGCAAGACGAGGGAAUAAGAAAAUUUCUUACAUUUUUUAGAAGAGCAGAUACUGUACUUCAGCUGUCUCAAAAAUCUCAGGGCCUUUUUCCUACCAGAUAAAAAGGAGCAAAAGAGGUCAACAAGCUACUCUCAAGCUGCCUGUGAGAAGCUUGUUGAUGCUUCCUAUUCCUAGCAAUUACAGACUUUAUGUGCCUUUUGAGACUAGGUACAGAGCAACUCAAAAGUUUAUUUGUGCCAUCAACUUAAUUCUUCCAUCCUGGUUAACUCCUAGAGAGUCAUCUGUCAGAAAGUAAAACAGAAUCACAGAAUCAACUAGGCUGGAAAAGACCUUUGAGAUCAUGAAGUCCAACCUGUGACCUAACACCACUUUGUCAACUAACAGUGCAUGGUAUCUUUUUGACAAGCCCUGCUGUUUCCAAUACCAAAGCAGUGAAGUUGGGCCAAAUCCCUUGACCCUUCAGGAAGAUGUGCACUGCACCUAUAAGGCUUCAAGGAGUGGCACUUCUUUUUGAGGCUUUCAAUCAAAAAGAGAGGGGCCAAGCAAUUAUGCCAUAAGUUUUUCCCUGGGUCUCCCCUUUUGGUCCCCCCAGGUGAACAGAGGCACCAUUUCUGUUCCUUCCUUCCUCCCCCUCUAUGCUUCCCAAGCUUCUGCUCUGCUUUCCGUGGGGAACUGUUUCUGAUUUAGCUGAAACUGUACUGGUUUACCCAUCACAGAGCACCUGACUUCUUUAACAUCAUACAUGAAGCUUUAUCAGAGCUGAUGCAAGAAAAUCUCUUAUACAACAUAGAAUUUGAGAUUAAAUAUGCCCACCUUGACAUCCCCUUAAAGUUAAUCUCACAGGCAGUGCAUGUGUCAGACCAUCUGCAAAGAAAAAAGCGUGGCCAAGCUGUACAUGAAAACUGCUCCAUUAGAAGAAACUGCCUCUGUAGCACUGCAUGUUCUCUAUCUGGUUCAGAGCUGCAUUCUCAGGCCUUCAAAAUCCUAAAAAAGUAUUACAUGUUUUUUAAGAAUUUA
Molecule: long non-coding RNA, 2307 nt
Organism: Vidua chalybeata
Lineage: Eukaryota; Metazoa; Chordata; Aves; Passeriformes; Viduidae
Exons: 2
Source: RefSeq, a predicted model, not a curated record